UUACGGCCUUUCACGCACAUAUUCACACCCAAAAUGUGCUUCAUCUUCUCUCUCCUCAAAUCCCAAAACCUAAUCAUCUUCUUCCUCCAUACUUUCCUACUCCUAUUGUGUUUUCUCACCUAUCUGCUACAAUCAAACAAAUUCUCUACAUAAUACAAAUGCUUAUCUAUUUUAGACAGGUUAUGCUAACCAAGGUGAAGCCACAACACCGUUAAAUUAAAAUUAAAAGACGAAACGUUAUGAACUAGCGAGUUCUAAUGUUCAAUAAAUUUAGUUUUUCAUUUUAACAUAUAUUUUGUUGUAAAUUUUACUCGGGUAGUUAAGUUUUUUAAUCUAUUAGAUCUAUGUAUGUAUACUCUCCUUGUAUAUCUGGUAUUUUGUUCUUUAUAUACCAUAAACUAUCUCACUUUUUUUUUUUGCAAAUAAACUAUCUCAAUUUUUAGUCAUCAACAGAUUUUGUUAAUUCUCUGUUUUUUUUUUUUUUUUUUUGUUCCUUUCUUUGUUUAGCCCAUAAAAGUCUUCAUGAACUAGAUCUAUGAAACAGUGAGACAAUGAAGUUUGGAUAUUGGAUAUCCGCCAUACCCGAUCCGAAAACUUUCGGAUAUCGGAUAUCAAAUAUCCGAAAAUGUUCGGAUCGGAUACGGAUAUGAAAUAUCAAAAUUUUCAGAUACGGAUAUCCGAUCCGAAGUCGGAUUUUGGAUCGGAUAUCCGACCCGUGCUCAGCCCUACUAAUACCGAAAGGGGACUAAUAAACAAGAACGGAGGGAGUAUAUUAUUUGAUAAAAUUAGAAAAGCUGAAAUGUAGGAUAAAGAGCAAUGAGAUCAUACAAAAAGGAAAGUUACAACUUACAAGAAUUUAAAGUCUACGAGGAUGAUACAUUAUGUUUUAAGAGAGAAUAUUAGUACCUAGAAAUAAUAGUUCGAAGGAAAAUUAAACACAAACAAAUUACUAAGACGGUUGCUAUACGUAAUCCUUACUUACUUUAACGCAUCCCAGUAAAAAACCAAAAAUACCCUUUAGUCUUUUUUCCCUCUCCCCCGCAACCUUAAUCUCUCUGAAACCGAAACACUCUCAAACUCCCCGUACUUCUGGUUUCCUGUUUCGUGGAUUAAAGCACAAGAAAAUUGAAGAACGACAAAGAGGCGUCUCCAACACCAAUCAAUCUCAUCAAGAAUCAAUCUCAUCAAGAAUCAAUCUCAUCGUUUUCAUGCUCAAAAUUAGGAAUUAGGUUUUCAUAUUCAUUAAUUAGCAUAAUUUAUUUCAUAAUUUGAAUUAGGAAAUUAGAAAUUCGAAUUAGGAAUUCGAAUUGGGAAUUAGGUUCCAAAGCAUUGGUUGAAUUAGGAAUUUGAAUUAUAUACUUGAAUUAGGAAUUCUAAUCCUAUGCAUAUGUUGAAUUAGGAAUUCGAAUUACAUAUGUUGAAUUAGGAAUUCGAAUUAUAUUCAUAUGGGUAUUGUACCAAAAAUCUUUGUGAAUUCCUCAAAAAAAAAAAAGUUCGAAUUUUGAUGGUUAUUGAUAGAUUACAAAUUUAUUUCGUUAUUUCGGGUAUUUGCUUGAUAGUAUGAGUUAUAUAUUUUUCUUCUUCUUGAGUUAUAUUGUUUCAUAUAUUCGGUUCAAAAAAGAUGAAGUUGUUUCUUGUUGUUUAGGUGGAAUUGACUACAAAUUUUGUAAAGUUGGGGUGUAAUAGGCUAGUAUGCUUUGUGUAGUUAGGACAAAAUAGUACAUCUAAUUUCAUAGAUUAUGUCUAAAGUAGAUAAUACUAUUUCAUAUGAUGUAUCCGAAAUAGGUUAGGUAACUUCAUAUGCUUCAUCUGAAUUAGACAAUCAAACAUCUGAUUUCAUGUGUUAUCUUUUUGUUUGCUUGUUAAGUAUAAUCUAAUUAAAGGAGCUACUAGCCUUACUGUUGUAUAACCUUCUAGCGAGUUUUGUUAUCAUCAGCUUUGAUCGAGGAACCUCCAGGGUGGAGGGAUAUUAGUAUCGUGUUGCUUAAUAAAAACACACUUCCAAAAAUGUAUGUAAAGGAGCUACAUAAGACUAAUCUUUCUAUCUUAAUAGGUAGUAGUAGUAGUAGUAGUAGUAGUAGUAGUAGUAUUAGUAGUAGUAGUAGUAGUAGUAGGCAGUAAAGCAAAAACUAUGUCCAGCAUAAUUAAAACUAGUAGUACAUGUUUUCUGCAUGAAAACUACCACAACCCACUCCAGACUCACUAGCUUGGUAUCACUAUAUCGACUUCACUCUUGACAUCAUCUUCCUCUUGUCCUUUGCAGAUACCUGGAAAAGCAUAUAAAUAUUAUCAAAAGACUAACCCAUAUAUAGUACCUCAGUGCCAUCUGGACUUUUCUCAAUCAGUUGCAUUCCCUCAAACUCCUUGCCAACAAACACUCUCCUAAGAUUGGUCUUCUGGGAAUUCAACGCCUGCUUCUUCUAUGAGAGAAGUUUUUCAUAUUGUUCUAGAGUCAUGAGUGCAGCUUCCUAAAUGACAAUAAGUGCAGUGUGACGAGAAAAAGUUAAUUAGUCUUUAAACCAAAUAAAAAUGGCAUCUUAUCUAACUGAGGUAACAGAAGAAGAGCCUUCAUUACUUCCUCUUUCUUUUCUUAUUCCAAUUCUUUCUUUUCUUUCAUCUCUUUUGUAUCCUCCUUUAGGUCUCUAAUAUCUUUAGAGACCUCAUCAUAAGUGUUGUGAACUUUAGUUUCAGCAGAUAUAUAGAUUUUGAAGCUUCUAAGACUAUUUAAGUAUCCCUGCUGAACCAUUAACACAGUAAAAACAACCAGAAGAUGUCAAUUCAAAGCAGAGCAUAACUCCUGAUUUACAAAGAAAACAAGCACUGAAUAAUCAUGAAAGAAAUACCACUACCUGAUUUGGAAGGAGAGGAACCAGAGGAGGUUUUAGAGUAUUCAACAGGUCAAUUUCGAGUUGCCAAAACAGAUUCAGCUGAUGUCUUACCUAAGGUGUUUGCAGAAACCUCAUCUUGCUGGUCUUGUUCCUUAGGUGUUUCUCUUUUUUUGUUCUGCUGGUUGCAAACUAUUUGUGCAUUCUGUGUUACUGUUGCUUCCUUAUCUUGCUUUUUAAGCUGAAGUUUUUGUGCUAGAAUGAUGGGGAGGAAGAUUCUGCAGUAGUCUACAACUGGCUCUGUGUAGACUGGUUGCUCUGUUUGUGGUGUUUGCAGGUUGUUUUUGUGCUGCAACUCUGUUCUCUUGCUGCAGUCUGUUGUCGUGUGAUGCUGCUAGUUGUUUAUUGUAGCUACUGUUUUUGUUGGUUGUGCAGCGUGUGGUUUUUGCAACUGAUGUGUUCUCUGCGGGUUGCUUCAAGUUCACUGACUGCUGCUAUAUUUCUUGUUGGUUACUGGUCAUGCUGUGACAUGUGCUGAUUUUUUGUGCUACUGCCUGCUCCCCUUGUAGUUGCUAGUUGUGUUUUUUUUGGUUUGGGUUGCGGUUUGCGCACCCUUUUCUGUAGGUUUUUGUUUCUUUGUUUAGUUUCAACUGGUUCGUACCUUUGGUAAUAAAGUUUUUAAUUUACCAGAAAAAAAAGAAAAAGAAAUACCACUACUUUACGGCCUUUUACAUUCUUCUCAAGGCUUUCAUCCUUCUUCACCUUUUCCUCUUGGAAUCGAAUUUCAAAAAACAUUUUUUCUUUGUUUUUCUGCCGACUUGUUUCUUUCUCUUACUAUUGAUUGGUGGACGGAGUAUCAUGUUGCUAGAUGCUUUUACUUGCGGUUGAGACAGUUAUUAGAUUUAUUGCUAAAAGUAUGUCAAUUCAAUUCCUUUAAGUUUCCAAUGCCCAAGGGUAUGCUAUCUUUAUUCUUCUUCUGAAAUCCCCUGCAGUAGAUGAUACUUCAGCUUGAGGGCCACCCUCUCCUAGGCUAUUGAAUAACACUUGAAGUGUUACUAAGGUUGUCAUCAGUGAUGCGCUGAAACGCCUACACUGUACCACGAGUUUGGAGGAUUUUCAUUCUGCGGAUAUUAUAAUUGAAGCAAUUGCUGAAUCAGAAGUGGCUAAGAAUAAGCUAUUUGUUGAGCUGGACAAGACAACCAAAUCUUCUACCAUCUUAGCAUCUAACACUAGUUCAAUCUCCAUUGCGCGGCUUGUUUCUGUAACAAGUCGACCAUACCAAGUCUGGAUUAGUAUUAUAUUUCAUGUCUGACAUUGGUCAAAAGCUUUUAACUCCACAUAAUAGAAAGAAAAAAAAUUCCAAGGUGGGGCAAGUUUGUAUAGUUUGAGAAUUUCGUGUAGUUGACUUGCUCAUUACUUGGCAUUUUACAUAGAAGUUACCUAGACUUUGCAUUUUUAGAGAAUGGAAGCUUGUGUAAUAAUAAAGUAAGUGAAUCGAUGGCUGGUUGUUGUAUAAUUUUCAUUGUUAAUUAGCACAUUUUUUAAUCUUUGCAUGAUUCCAUCACCAUGUUGACAAUGCCUGUCUUGGUGAUGUUUCUCUA
Molecule: long non-coding RNA, 4426 nt
Organism: Spinacia oleracea (spinach)
Lineage: Eukaryota; Viridiplantae; Streptophyta; Magnoliopsida; Caryophyllales; Amaranthaceae
Exons: 2
Source: RefSeq, a predicted model, not a curated record